This 404-nucleotide ribosomal RNA is filed under the name Verrucomicrobiota bacterium. RNAcentral describes it as "Verrucomicrobia bacterium partial 16S ribosomal RNA". It matches the Rfam family "Bacterial small subunit ribosomal RNA", at positions 355 to 776 of the family's 1533-position model. The record is from RNAcentral. Lineage: Bacteria; Pseudomonadati; Verrucomicrobiota.
UGGGGAAUAUUGCACAAUGGGGGAAACCCUGAUGCAGCGACGCCGCGUGAGCGAAGAAGGCUUUCGAGUCGUAAAGCUCUGUCCUAUGAGAAGAUAAUGACGGUAUCAUAGGAGGAAGCCACGGCUAACUACGUGCCAGCAGCCGCGGUAAUACGUAGGUGGCAAGCGUUGUCCGGAAUUAUUGGGCGUAAAGCGCGCGCAGGUGGUUUAGAAAGUCUGAUGUGAAAGCCCACGGCUCAACCGUGGAGGGUCAUUGGAAACUAAUAAACUUGAGUGCAGGAGAGAAAAGUGGAAUUCCUAGUGUAGCGGUGAAAUGCGUAGAGAUUAGGAGGAACACCGGUGGCGAAAGCGGCUUUUUGGCCUGCAACUGACACUGAGGCGCGAAAGCGUGGGGAGCAAACAGG